GCGGUUUGUCGCGUCUGCUGUGAAAUCCCGAGGCUCAACCUCGGGCCUGCAGUGGGUACGGGCAGACUAGAGUGCGGUAGGGGAGAUUGGAAUUCCUGGUGUAGCGGUGGAAUGCGCAGAUAUCAGGAGGAACACCGAUGGCGAAGGCAGAUCUCUGGGCCGUAACUGACGCUGAGGAGCGAAAGGGUGGGGAGCAAACAGGCUUAGAUACCCUGGUAGUCCACCCCGUAAACGUUGGGAACUAGUUGUGGGGUCCAUUCCACGGAUUCCGUGACGCAGCUAACGCAUUAAGUUCCCCGCCUGGGGAGUACGGCCGCAAGGCUAAAACUCAAAGGAAUUGACGGGGACCCGCACAAGCGGCGGAGCAUGCGGAUUAAUUCGAUGCAACGCGAAGAACCUUACCAAGGCUUGACAUAUACGAGAACGGGCCAGAAAUGGUCAACUCUUUGGACACUCGUAAACAGGUGGUGCAUGGUUGUCGUCAGCUCGUGUCGUGAGAUGUUGGGUUAAGUCCCGCAACGAGCGCAACCCUCGUUCUAUGUUGCCAGCACGUAAUGGUGGGAACUCAUGGGAUACUGCCGGGGUCAACUCGGAGGAAGGUGGGGAUGACGUCAAAUCAUCAUGCCCCUUAUGUCUUGGGCUUCACGCAUGCUACAAUGGCCGGUACAAAGGGCUGCA
Molecule: ribosomal RNA, 678 nt
Filed under: uncultured Microbacterium sp.
Lineage: Bacteria; Bacillati; Actinomycetota; Actinomycetes; Micrococcales; Microbacteriaceae
Description: bacterial SSU rRNA
Rfam family: Bacterial small subunit ribosomal RNA
Source: RNAcentral